Molecule: non-coding RNA, 146 nt
Organism: Xenorhabdus khoisanae
Lineage: Bacteria; Pseudomonadati; Pseudomonadota; Gammaproteobacteria; Enterobacterales; Morganellaceae
Source: Rfam
UAUUUUUUUCUACAAAAAUGAUCCAUCGCCUGUCAGGAUCGCCUUCGGGUGGCGAAACAAAACUCCUGUAGCCUGAAAGGGAGAGCAAAAUUGCGGUACAUCUGCACACUUUUGGAAGCAGAUAUCGUCUGACGAUGAAAGUUAUC